CAUCUAGCGAUCCGAUGGGGUAUUGUUGCCUUGUCGAGGAGCUUCCCGGAAACGAAAGUCUUUCGGUUCCUGGGGUAGUAUGGUUGCAAAGCUGAAACUUAAAGAAAUUGACGGAAUGGCACCACCAGGAGUGGAGCCUGCGGCUUAAUUUGACUCAACACGGGAAAACUCACCCGGCCCGGACACCGUAAGGAUUGACAGAUUGAAAGCUCUUUCUCGAUUUGGUGGUUGGUGGUGCAUGGCCGUUCUUAGUUGGUGGAGCGAUUUGUCUGGUUUAUUCCGAUAACGAGCGAGACUCUAGCCUGCUAAAUAGUGACUAGAUUUUUAUGUCUAGUCUACUUCUUAGAGGGAUAAGCGGUGUUUAGCCGCACGAGAUUGAGCGAUAACAGGUCUGUGAUGCCCUUAGAUGUCCGGGGCUGCACGCGCGCUACAAUGGAAGAAUCAGCUGGCCUAUCCAUUGCCGAAAGGUAUUGGUAAACCGUUGAAACUCUUCCGUGACCGGGAUAGGGAAUUGUAACUAUUUCCCUUGAACGAGGAAUUCCUAGUAAGUGUGAGUCAUCAGCUCACGCUGAUUACGU
This 578-nucleotide ribosomal RNA is filed under the name Crenosoma vulpis. RNAcentral's name for it is "SSU rRNA". It matches the Rfam family "Eukaryotic small subunit ribosomal RNA", at positions 1043 to 1650 of the family's 1831-position model. The record is from RNAcentral. Lineage: Eukaryota; Metazoa; Nematoda; Chromadorea; Rhabditida; Crenosomatidae.